RNAcentral lists this long non-coding RNA (1434 nucleotides) under Homo sapiens (human). RNAcentral describes it as "HSALNT0390345". Lineage: Eukaryota; Metazoa; Chordata; Mammalia; Primates; Hominidae. The record is from RNAcentral.
AGAGAGACAAGGAAAUGCUGUCACCGCGGUUAACACGCACGUGGAGGGAAGACCUGGGUUUUAGUCCUGUCUCCAUCAACCUCAAGAAAUGGGACCUCAUGGAAGGGAGGGGAGGCAAUGCCGAGGAUGUGCUCCUGAGCAGGUGCCACAAUUCUUCACCUGUAAGGCUGAUCUAAGAAGAUUCCUAAUUAUCAAUUGAGAGCAGAGAUAUUCCACUUCCAAUUACAUGGCCUGCCUGCUCACUCUUACUUCCUAUUCACACUCUCUUGGAGACCACUUUGUGAUUCUACCAAAUUCUAUAGGAGAGGUGACAACCCCAAAGAGAAGGCUCUAGAAAGAUGACAUUUGGAAAUGUGUACGCUAGUGUCUGCUGGCUCCUCCUGAGCCAUUUUUACUCUGUGAAUGAGAUCAAAGGCCACCUAACUGCCUAAAUCACCACAAAGGGACAAACUGGUAUCUCAGAGCACUCAGCAACAAAAACAAGAAAGCUAAGCCUCUGCACUGCAAUGUGGCAGGGCUUCUGGCUAAGUAUAGCAAGCAAUUCUGAUGUGGAGACAAACAGCAGCAAUGGGAAUGAUAUGCCAAUGAAGGAUUCCAACAGUUGGGUCUGCAAGUGUGCUUGUCCUGUGACACAAACGGCCUAGACAUCUCAGCACUGCUUGGAGCUGCUCAUUGGGGGAGCCUAAGAAACAUCAGCCCUUUCACAACCUCUUGCUCCUGAGCAGAGCUCAUCUCCCAAGAGCACAUCAGCCCGCAGCCCAGUCUGAUGAGAAGCACAGUAUUCCCCUGUGCCAGUGGCAGCCUCAGAGCAUCCUGAAAGAGCGCUUCCUAGACACGCAGUGGAAGCCAUGACUUCCCCUAAGCUGCCGGUGCUGCCUCUGAACUCAUGUGGAGGUUCUUUUUUCAGUGUCCCCAGAGGCAGCAGAAAAAUCCGUUUUCCAUUUUGGAAUCUAUCAAGUAGGACAAAUCUGCCACCUGGGAGCAUCUCCUCAAGGGCAAUCUCUGCUCCCUUUCCUACAUGGCCUGACAAUACCCUCGAGUUAGAAAUGUCCCAUGUUGGCUAGGCACAGUGGCUCAUGCCUGUAAUCCCAGCACUUUGGGAGGCUGAGGUGGGAGGAUUGCUUGAGGCCAGGAGUUUUGAGACCAGCCUGACAUAGAGAGACUAUGCCUCUAUUAUUUUAAAAAAAGAAAUGUCACAUAUUUUUACCCUCUUCACUCAUCUUUCCACCUUGCUCCAAUAGAUUGCUGACAGAAAAGUGAGACCUCCUCCACCCCAAGGUCUCCUAAGAGAAUGCUGCUAGCCAAAAAAAGAUCUGCUGAUAAUUGAGGAAGAGCAUCUUUAAAAAGACACUCAACUACAUUUCAGAAACAUAAAGAUCUAAGUGUUGGCUCUACAAGGGAAGAAAUAAAGAGAAAGAACUUUUUUUCCUCCUA